ACUUGACUGUCUUGACUUGGGACUUGACUUGUAAAACAAUGAUUUGGUCCCACCUCUGCACCAAAGUUAUUUACCCCUCUAUUAUUACAAUGUGUUUAUGGUACCCAUCAUACCUCCCGUAGCACCAUGUCUUCAUUCUGUACAUGUGUGUACAGUUUUGCAUGCAUUGCAUGCUUUUGUCAUGUCGUGUGCAUUGAUCACAACAUGCCCCCUGCUCUACCCAUUAGCCCGGCAUUUGGAUCAGUUAUCCUGACCCACUGGACCUACACAGUCCAGCCUGUCUUAUUCUUCUGUCACCAGAGCUUUUCACUAUCUCAGUCUCUUGCUCUCUCGCCCCCUCUUCCACCUCAAUUCCCACUGCAUCUCACGGGUCACGGCGUUGCCGCUCAUCUUACUCAGGGGGGCUUAGCACAAGUAUUUUUUGCUCCCACAGCAGCUUACAUCGACAAGAUCCGCUUGUCACUGGCAUUGCCAACCAUCUCAUGCCUCAUCAGAAUGAGCCAGAAAAGGCUACAGCUCCCUGCUUUUUUCCAGUCCUUUCAGCAGUGCUUUAUUACAUAACACGCACAAUUGUUGUUUUCAUUAGCGUGUUAAUCGUUAAUGUGGUAGAUAGUGUGAAAAUAUGUGUGGCGGCUGAGAUGGAUUCUUUCAUUAAGCAAAUCCUGCAGUCAUGCUGUGGAAAAGUGGGAGCCUUGAUAAAUAUUGGCUGGUAACUAAGUAACGAGCCUUGACAUUAUAAAACAUCAGGUUGUCAAAUGCUAGCUAGUCAUCAUGGCUUUUCUUGUUUAUUAUUUAUUUACAUCCCCAUUUACUGUUACCUUGGCAACAACUGCUCUUCCUGGGGUCCAUUUGAGAUAUACAUUCAGUUCAAAUGCUUACACAUAACGGCUAUAAUCUCCAUCCAUUAAAGUCAGUAUGACUUCAAUUUCAUUCAUCACUAAUCUGUUUGCUCAGUGAUGAAAAACAUUUUGGUCUAAUUGCUUUGCUAGAGGUUUGUUUUUCUUCACUUUGGCUCUUCUCCAUUUUGUGCUAUAUAUAUAUAUAUAAUCAUUUGCAGCUGCUUAAAGGCAUAGUUUGGGUGUUUUGAAGUGGGGUUGUAUGAGGUACUUAUCCACAGUUAGUAGGUGUAUUACUUACGGUAGAUGACAGUCGGUGUGCUCCCAGCAUUGCAAGGCAGACAGGAGCACCGACACCGGAGCAAAGCAAUACAGUGCUGUGGAUGGGGCCGACAGAAAACCUUAUUUUAGCCACCUAAAACAAAGGCUCACCUAAAAAAAAAUCUAUAUUAGCUUAAGUAUAUGUUAUAUUUACAAUAUUUUCCGACAGCGAACUGAACUGAAAGUUAAACAUAUCUAUACUGUGUUUGUCAUCUGAGCGUGUUGGCUUUGGAGAGAGCGUAGAAAGGUUACAUUUUCAGUUCAGUUCCCCGUCGGAAAGGAGAAGGAAAGGGCUGUCUGACAGCAAGAUAAAGCGGGGAAAAUACAUCUC
Sebastes umbrosus (honeycomb rockfish) is the source of this 1488-nucleotide long non-coding RNA. RefSeq lists it as uncharacterized. The record is from RefSeq and is a predicted model, not a curated record. NCBI's taxonomy places the organism in Eukaryota, Metazoa, Chordata, Actinopteri, Perciformes, Sebastidae. The transcript is spliced from 3 exons.